This 491-nucleotide ribosomal RNA is filed under the name uncultured bacterium. RNAcentral describes it as "partial 16S ribosomal RNA". It matches the Rfam family "Bacterial small subunit ribosomal RNA", at positions 28 to 507 of the family's 1533-position model. The record is from RNAcentral.
GAUGAACGCUAGCGAUAGGCUUAACACAUGCAAGUCGAGGGGUAACGUGUUGGAAGCUUGCUUCCGAUGACGACGACCGGCGGAUGGGUGCGUAACGCGUAUGCAACUUGCCUCACAGUGGAGAAUAACCCGGAGAAAUCCGGACUAAUGUUCCAUACACUCUUAAGUACUCCUGUACAUGAGAGGAAAGAUUUAUCGCUGUGAGAUAGGCAUGCGUCCUAUUAGGUAGUUGGUGAGGUAACGGCUCACCAAGCCGACGAUAGGUAGGGGUGCUGAGAGGCAGAUCCCCCACAUUGGGACUGAGACACGGCCCAAACUCCUACGGGAGGCAGCAGUGAGGAAUAUUGGACAAUGGAGGAAACUCUGAACCAGCCAAGUCGCGUGAAGGAAGAAUGUCCUAAGGAUUGUAAACUUCUUUAGCGAGCGAGUAAGGACUUCCACGUGAUGGGAGUUUGAAAGUAGCUCGAGAAUAAGUAUCGGCUAACUCCGUG